Molecule: long non-coding RNA, 1879 nt
Organism: Brassica oleracea var. oleracea
Lineage: Eukaryota; Viridiplantae; Streptophyta; Magnoliopsida; Brassicales; Brassicaceae
Exons: 5
Source: RefSeq, a predicted model, not a curated record
UACAAAAUAUGACAUAAGACAAGACCAUAACCAGUUCGUAAGAGAAGACAAUAACCAGAUUUCCGUAGUAAAACUUUUUCUAAAUAGUUAAAGGCAAAGCAUUUUCUCACGAUCACUCUAACGGCGGAGAUGAGGAAGAUGGACGGCCACGUCACCGUUCGAUUUGGUCCGUAUCUGGGUUCCACUCACAGUUUCCUUCCUCAUACGAUAUUACGAUCUUAGGAUUUCUCCUCUGGCAAAUAAAAUCUCGCUCCUUUUGAUAUUGAUUCUUGCCGUCGCAAGCUUGAUCCCUGUUUACGGGAUUGUUAGUCACUUGCUAUGUUUUGGAUCUAUCGAGAUUGUAAGAUGGGAGCUUGCUCUUGGAAAAUGAACCAUUCAGUUUCUAAAGAGGUCAUCUCUCUGAUAAACCCAAUCGCAUCGGUGAAGAAACUAGCGACAAAUCUGAUUCUAUCUGCAGUCUGCAGACUUACCGACUUUUGCUAUAGGUGGUGAUGAGAAACUUCUGAUGCAAACUUUUCUUAACGUCAUGAGAAACGCUGUAAAAAAAAAAAAAGUAAGGCUACGUCUCCGUAGUAGCUUCGAUCAUGAAACCUGAGUCCUUGAGAGAAUUACCUUUCCCAGAAAUCUAUCUGGUUCCAAGUGACAAUCACUUCUAUGUGUGCAGGUGAAGAACACGGGGUGUGGAAUUCACACGCAAGGCAUUCCUUUUCGAUUACCAAAAUUGUGAAGCAAGAAAGGUAAUAUUUUUGACUUUUACAUGAUCUUUGAGGGUUCCAGAAGAUUGAGUAAGUGUGAAAAUUAGCUGUUGGGUCAAACCAGAGAUGGAACUGUUGCUCUUUGUCACAUUUACCUUGAGUGUAAAUAUUAGUAUGUAAAGUAUAAGGAUCUCCACUAAUAUUACCCAAGAAGAAUAUUUUGAAAGAAGACAUUAUCGUGUAACUGAUUGUAUGCGUUUUGAAUUUGGUGAGUAAUGUAAGGGAUAUAUAUAUAUAUAUAUAUAUAUAUAUAUAUAGUGGGUGGAGAAUAAUAAGUAAUGUCAAGAGGAGAGUGGGUGAACAAAGGAGGGACAUUGCAUGCAAGAUGUAUUACAGCUUGACGCUCAGUUCCUCCAUCAUUUGGACUCGAGCUAGCUCUUUGCAAACAGUAACGAGCCAAUAGUAUAUCAUAUUACUAAUAUGAAGCGUAACCAUAUGGAGUAACAGAAGAGCUAAAGAGUGAGAAUAUUUGAUCUCUGGCUAGGUUCGUAGGGCUAAUGGAAGGAUGCAUAUGAAUAGAAAGUGAACUACUUUUUGAAGUUUAUAGUUACUACUGCUACCAAGUCGUGGUUCUUCUUUUCUUAUAGUCCAACAGUUUAAUACUAAAAUAUUACUCUAUACAAGUAUUCCUAAACCUACUCUAUGCUUAGUUAAACAUAACAUAUAUAGGACAUUCUAUAUAUGAUGUCCAAUGUAUAAACAAAAAUGUAUGUAAAUAAAAUUAUUUCGAAGACAAUUUUACCCCGCUCCUUGGGCGGGUAUCCACCUAGUACUCUAUUAUAAUACAACAGCGUUAGUAACACAAAUGACUAGACGACAAACUUUGGUGGAUCAGACUAUACCAACUCGAUUAUAUUUAUAUCAUAUUAAGCUCUAGUAGUCAAAGUGAUUUAACGUCAUAGUAAUGUUGAGGUUAAUGCAAAGUGAUUUAACGUAUAAGCUCUAUUUUGCUAAAGUAUAUAAUACUGUAUUGGGAUAAUGGUUUGAACUAAUACCAUUGAUUUGCCAUUACUCGAAACUAAAGCCGUAUAAUGCAUGUUGACCAGAUUUUUUUAGUAAGCCAUAACUAAAAGUACAUGACUGUAACACUUUUCUUUGUUAUCUAAUAUUUUGUAUGAUAAAUU